Mustela lutreola (European mink) is the source of this 3670-nucleotide long non-coding RNA. RefSeq lists it as uncharacterized. NCBI's taxonomy places the organism in Eukaryota, Metazoa, Chordata, Mammalia, Carnivora, Mustelidae. The record is from RefSeq and is a predicted model, not a curated record. The transcript has 5 exons.
UGAGAUCACGACCUGAGCCAAAACCAAGAGCCAGUCGCUCAACCGAAUGAACCAUCCAGGCGCCCCAAGGGCCAAGGCAGCCACAGAAGCAGAUGGCUGUGAUAUAGAGUGAUUUUGGUGACAAGCUGCCCCUCGCUGCCGCGGAGACGCCGGAGACGCCGUGCUGGGUUUGAGACGCUGGGAGGGCAAAGCUGGGCCGGGACUAGGAACCUACCCGCUACUUGGGGCCAGACGCUCACGUGAGCGCGGGGCGGGGCCAGGCGCACACCUGGGCGCAGGGCGGGACCGGGCGCUGGGCGGGACCAGGCGCACACCAGAGCGCGGGGCGGGGCCAGGUGGUGGUCUCCGCCCCUCCUUCUCCCUCCACUUCUCCCAGGCUCCCAGUCUUGCCUUCCUAAGCUGCUAAGUGCUAGGGACACCGGAGACAGCUUAGGUGGCCUGUGAAAGGAGAUCCCUGGGGACAAAGCCAGGAUCCAACCCCUGAAGCUCCGUGGAGGGGGUUGGGGGGUGCUGUGUCCAGGGCUGCCCAUGUACUGUCUCACCUGAUCUUGCCCGCAAGUCUAGGAAGUAGGUCAUCAACACCCUGUUUCACAGGAACUGUGCUCAGACUCCUAACCGCAAAGUUGACUCAACAGACAACCAGGGUCAAGAAUGGAAGGCACCAGUGCCAUUCCCCCCCCCCCCCCAACCCCCACCCCGUGGAGUAGAAAUGAAUUUGAGGGUGAGCGUGGGGGAAUUCUGCUGCUGUUAAAUGUCAGAAGAAUUGUUAUGGGGAAGAGGGAGACUUUUGGCCAGCCACAGCAGAGAGCCUCCAUAUUUUGGAACUCCAGUUGCAAUCCCUUCUUUUUGGGGCGGCGGGGGUCCACCCCCCACCUCAUUCCAGCUGGUUACCGUAGGGCUGCCAAUCACAAGGGCCUGCCUCUCCUCUCCUGGGGCAGGCCUAGAACUCAAACCAGGCAACAGGACUCUAAUUCCUAGAAUCACCAAUGGGGAGAGUGCGUCUGACAGCCACAUCCUGGAAAGGUGGUCCAUAAACUCAACCAGUCAAGAGGAAGUGGUAACUGGGCCAGAACCCUGGUCUGUGAGACUCCCGAGACCAAGCUCAGGCACUCCUAACCUUAAAGACAUCUCUCGUGGGACCACCAGCCAGCCAAAGGCACAAAAGCCACCUCCCCUCCGGGGAGGUGCGGGGACCCAGCCUUUCCUGCAGGGGCGUGGCCAAUGUGUUCCAAGAAAUCCCCCCACCUCCAUUUUUUUUUUUUUUUAAGAUUUUAUUUAUUUAUUUGACAGGAGAUCACAAGUAGGCAGAGAGGCAGGCAGAGAGAGAGAGAGAGGGAAGCAGGCUUCCUGCGGAGCAGGGAGCCCAAUGCGGGGCUCGAUCCCAGGACCCUGAGAUCAUGACCCGAGCCGAAGGCAGCAGCCCAAACCACUGAGCCACCCAGGCGCCCCAUUAUUCUGCUUAGCUAUUCGGCGUCAGUUUCUGGGGCUUGAAACGGAAGAACCCCAACUUUGAACAGUGUUUCUAGAAGGAGUAGCGGGCCGAUCAUCAUAGAUGUUGCACUCGGGAAAAGCUCUUUAGUUGGAGACUUGAGAAAGGAGAGGUUUGUGCUCUCCCAGAUUCACGUGUUGAAGUUCUCAUGGGAUGGAUGGGAGUUAGAGGCAGGGCCUUCCAGAAUUGGAGGCCACCCCCACCCCCACCGUGAUGGGAUGAGUGCCCUCUGAGGAAGACAGAGGGCGCUAGUGAACAUACAAGAAGACAGCGGUGUGGCAACCAGGAGGAGGCCUCCCCAAGGACUCAACCUUGGGGGCACCUGAUCUUGGACGCCCCCGUCCCUGGGUAGAGCAGCCCACCCUGAGGCACGGCAGCGUGGGGGCCGUUCGGCGAGAGUAUUGUGGGGUCAGUUGGGGAAUGAAUGGGAGGGAGGGUCUGGAGCACCAUGGCCAGCGAACUUGUGUUAGACGCCCUCCAUUCCGGCGUGGGCCUUGACCAAGUCCCUUUACUCCAAGUCCCUUUGCUCCCGGAGCCUCAAGGAGGCCAGGUCACGAAUAUUAUUUAUCUCAUCAGGUCUCUAUGAGGCACAUGGAGAUAAUGCAGACGAAGCCCUUAGCACAUUUCCAGGCUUCUCUCCUCUCCAGAGUGCUCAGGCCAUGAGAAUAACUCUAGACUUAUGGCCCCGUGAAGCAUUACUGAGCGCCUGCAGCGUCCUCUGACCCGCCAGCAGGGGGCUGGGGCUCGAACCUGGGCACUUUCCAUCAAGAGCCCCAGAUCUUUUUUUUUUUUUUUUUUCAGUAUUCCAAAAUUCAUUGUUUAUGCACCACACCCAGUGCUCCAUGCAAUAUGUGCCCUCCACAAUACCCACCACCAGGCUCACCCACCCCCACACCCCCUCCAAAACCCUCAGUUUGUCUCUCAGAGUCCACAGUCUCUCAUGGUUUGUCUCCCCCUCUGAUUUCCCCCAGCUCACUUCUCUCCUUCUCCCAAUGUCCUCCAGGUUAUUCCUUAUGCUCCACAAAUAAGUGAAACCAUAUGAUAAUUGACUUUCUCUGCUUGACUUCUUUCACUCAGCAUCAUCUCCUCCAGUCCCGUCCAUGUUAGUACAAAAGUUGGGCAUUCAUCCUUUCUGAUGGAGGGAUAAUACUCCGUAGGAUAUAUGGACCAUAUCUUCUUUGUCCAUUCAUCUGUUGAAGGGCAUCUAGGUUCUUUCCACAGUUUGGCGACUGUGGCCAUUGCUGCUAUGAACAUUGGGGUACAGAUGGUCCUUCUUUUCACUACAUCUGUGUCUUUGGGGCAAAUACCCAGUAGUGCAAUUGCAGGGUCAUAGGGUAACUCUGUUUUUAAUUUCAUAAGGAAUCUCCACACUGUUUUCCAAAGUUAAGAUCCCCAGAUCUUAACCAGUAUUCUUCCUACCUCCUCUAGGGAGAGGCCCAAAUCCUUCCCACUGUAAGAAGCCUUGACUAUAGACACAUGGUCUCAAAUCCCACCCCAAGAAGUAUGGGGUCCAUUUGGAGAAGAGAUUCCCACAUGCAAAAGGAUGGUGAACUGAGAAGGCAAAUCAUGCAUGAUGAGAGCCAGAGGAGCCAGGAAGCCCAGCGGGAGGAGGGCCCCUCUGCCUGGAUUUCAGGCCAUAUCCAGUGUCUCCAGAAAGAAAAGACUAGAAGCCACCAACCUAAUCCCGAGGCCCCGGGGAAGCGGCAAGCUCCUUUGAGAAGACAAGUUCCCACAGGCUUUAUCUUCCGCUCUCACUCCUCUCCAAGCAGCUCAGGCGCUGGAGAGGAGGAAGGGGGUUGGGGAGGAUCCAGCACCGGACUGGAGAGGGCUGGCAGUGCAGGCUCAGAGCCGGAGGGGCUCCAGGACCUCACCUGGUCGGUGCCCUCAUUCUGCAGCCCAGACAGGGCAGUGACUUGGGCAGAGUCACAGAAAGGGGGUGGCAGAAGCACAGUGAGGACGCAGGUCUCCCAGGCUGGGGGCCAUGCAAGCACAUGGCCCUGCUGCUCCCAGAUGGGAGGAACAUUUCUCCAAGCUCUUUCCGGAGCCCCCCUCCCCUUUCCGCAGACCCUCAACAUGCAACAAUAAGAAAGAGCCCUGGUUUUGGAGCCAGGAGACCUGAGUCUCCAGGGUUCACUCUGAGACUAACUCAUCUGUAAACUUGGGUGAGGUCCCUUACCUCUC